ACUGCAUAGAGGAACACCCAUACACAGGGCCGGAUGCACCAAGGGAGAAGAGGGGUCAAUUGACUCCUUGGGAUGCCAGCGUUUGGCUAUGGAGGUCUCAGGUGAGCAGCCCUUGACCAGCAGCUUGUUGACCCCUUAGGUGCAUUGAAUGUGCUUGACGAAAGUCCCCAAAGAGAGAAAGCGAGGUGGGUUGGUGAGUUACAACGACGGUCAUGUAACACCCCGACUCCAAAUUUAAUUCCUAUUUUAAAUUAUUUAAGUGAAUUAACGAAUUUACCCUUAGGGCAGGGGUAAAUUGGUCAUUUUCUUGCCCAGAAAGUAUUUGGGGCAGUGACUGGUAUUUUUGGGUAAGUAGUAUUGAGACGAAUUCGUAGACACGCGGUAGGCUUGAAUCAGAGUUGUAACGAAGAAGUUACAAUCAAAACAUUAUCAAUGGCAAACUUGUAAAUAUUUCGAAAAGUUUGGUAAAAAUCAGAUUUUUCACCUCAGCUCUCUCUCUCCUCGCGCACGCUCGACACUCUCUCUCUCCUCAGUCUCUCUCUCUCCUCGACGCCGACUCUCUCUCUCUCCUUGCUCGCGUGUUAACCCGAUGAGAUCCUUAAGUUGUCACGAGCGCAUAGGAAUUCGCGGAUCUCAAUUCGGAUGUCGUUUGACUAUCGAACAGAUUUUCGCAUAUUGUGUGUUAUCCGGGUUCGAUAGGUUCUGACCUUUGAAUCGUUUCCCAAUCAAUAUAUGUUGUUCUAGGUAUUCCUAAGAUCGUAUAGGAAUUCGCGGAUUAUGAAUCGGAGCCCCGGAUGUUCUGAUUCAAUAACUUAAAGUUUGCGUGUUUUGUAAUAACCGACCGAUCGUGCGAUCGUAAGCGAUCUAACCAUCCGUUUCGGACCAAACUUGCGAGACGAGUAUCUUAAACCUUGUGGAACCUCUAGAAACUUUCAGAUUGUAAAACGGAGGUCGUGGGUCCCGUGGGGCCGGUUGACCCGAAUUGGGAAGUUUGACCGUCAGUUGACCGAGUGUCUCUCGAAGCUGUUCCAUCGUCCAAAUUGGGUAGUUGGACCUUAGAACGUCUUAUUCCUAGUACACUUACUGGAAACCUGGGAAAUUAGGAUAUUUAAUUCAAAGUACUCGUUCGAAACGCUUUGUAUUAAUCUCGUAUAUGUAUUCUGAAAUAGGUACUCCGACCAUGCAUACGCAGCAGGCGGGACCCUCUAAGGGUCAAGCAGCGUGGGACUACUUGUGAGUGGAGUUUGUUUUCAAAUCUUAUGCAUGGUUUUAUGGAUGAAAGAUUUAUGCUUAACGUUUUUAAUGAUUUAUUGAAUAUAUUAUUUUUGUCCACUCACAAUUUUCUGUUUUGCGCCCCAGCCAGUAGUUGACUGAGCUCUGCAGCAGAGCCGGAUCGUGCGCUUCCGAGCCUUGAACCUUCGUAGGACUCUUUCUUCAUGUUAUUUCCUUUGAACUCUGUUUUGUUGAAAUUGAAGUUCUUAGACAUGCUCUAUUAUCGCCCUGUUAUGGUUGGAUUUGUGAGGCCGGAGGCCAGUUUGUUGUAAAUUGUUUAUUCCCUUUAAAGUAUGCUGCUGGUUGUGAUUAUUUUGUAUUUUUAUGCAGGUUGAAUUUUGUUGGGUUUGUUCAAUUUACAGGAGGGACUCUACCAAAAUUUUGGUAAAGAGUCUCGGUUUUUAGUAAAUGGGCCCGGCAUCAGAGUGAUGUCGGAACAAAGACAGGAUCCGCUCCGGUUUCCGGGGAAAUUCCGGGGCGGGUCCUGUCAGGUCAUGGGUGGGUGAGUUUUAAUUUUGGACAGAGAUAGAGAAAAGGAAAGGUAAUAGGUGAGUUACAACGAUGGUCA
This 1840-nucleotide long non-coding RNA is filed under the name Prunus dulcis (almond). Its description in RNAcentral is "sRNA ncRNA". Lineage: Eukaryota; Viridiplantae; Streptophyta; Magnoliopsida; Rosales; Rosaceae. The record is from RNAcentral.